UACGAAGGGUGCAAGCGUUACUCGGAAUUACUGGGCGUAAAGCGUGCGUAGGUGGUUUGUUAAGUCCGAUGUGAAAGCCCUGGGCUCAACCUGGGAAUGGCAUUGGAUACUGGCAGGCUAGAGUGCGGUAGAGGGCAGUGGAAUUCCCGGUGUAGCAGUGAAGUGCGUAGAGAUCGGGAGGAACAUCUGUGGCGAAGGCGACUGCCUGGACCAGCACUGACACUGAGGCACGAAAGCGUGGGGAGCAAACAGG
Molecule: ribosomal RNA, 253 nt
Filed under: uncultured bacterium
Lineage: Bacteria
Description: partial 16S ribosomal RNA
Rfam family: Bacterial small subunit ribosomal RNA
Source: RNAcentral